UAUCCAUGGUGGGAACACAGAUUUAACAGAUCUUUAAAAUGCUCCCAAGCUUUAUAGAGAGUUUCAUUUCCUUUUGAGUAAAAUUCGAGAUCUGUCAUUUCAAAUU
Non-coding RNA from Morus notabilis, 106 nucleotides. Lineage: Eukaryota; Viridiplantae; Streptophyta; Magnoliopsida; Rosales; Moraceae. The record is from Rfam.